GAAAUGAGGUUUCAUGGAGCUGAGCUGAGUAAACUAUCAAGAUCACAGGAAAGUGAAUACGAAGAUUUAAACUUAGGUUCAAGAGGUUAAUAAAGUGAAAACUCAGGAUGCUUAUGCGAUGUGAAGUUCUGUUAGCAUUUUGCACUAACUCAGAUAAUUAUACGUCUUAUAACUAAUGUUAGAGAGGCCUGACUACUUUUUGGAUGGGUAGCAGAGUCAAGAACAGAAGAGUGCGGACUGGAUUAAGAGUGUCUACUGGCCGGGCAAUGGUGGCACACACCUUUAAUCCCAGCACUUGGAAGGCAGAGGCAGGAUUUCUGAGUUCGAGGCCAGCCUGGUCUACAGAGUGAGUUCCAGGACAGCCAGGGCUACACAGAGAAACCCUGUCUCAAAAAAAUUAAGAGUGUGUACUGCUCUUGUUGAAUAGAGUUCAGUUCCCAGCAGUCAUGUCAGAUGGCUACAGUUCUAGAAACUAUCACCUUUUUGCUCUUUGAGGACUUACACACAACUGCACACAUACACAAAAAUAACAAAAAAAUAAAAUUUUGAAACAAAAUAAGUACCGUUGGGCCUGGUAGAAAUGCCUGAAAUCUCACCAUAUGAGAGACUGAGGCAGGAAACUCUAAUCUGCCCUGGGCUAUAUAACUCCAGGACAACCUGGAUUAAGAGUGCCCUCUACCCCCAAUUAACAGAUAACAUAUAGCAAGGCAAGCUAAGAUAACUCUCACAUCCCGGAUCUCCAUAUUUUCCUGAUGCAUACAUUAGGCCAACACUCAGUCUGAGUGGCUCCUUUGCACACUUCCCAGGCAUUCGGUUAUUUAAUCUUUGCCCUUGACAGCUAAGAUUCCUAUUUAACAGGUAAGGGAAAUAGGAGCCUUACAUUUUAAUUAACUUGCCCAGAGUACGUGGUGGGACUGAGAUUCAAAGACAGUGAAUACUAUUCUAGAGCCUGAGUUAACCUACAAGGUGCACACAGAAGACAUCUAAAGGUGCAGAGUGCCUCCGCUUUUUGCCCUGAAUUAAACUAGUGAAACUCCCUUGUAGAAGAGUUGUAUUAUUAAGAAUCACUGGUGUAGUGUAGCCUGCGCACUUCCUUCCCUAGAAGAGUCUUGACCCUGGUCGCCCACUGUAGGUAAUGUCUCUAAUUGGUCAGUUAUUGUCAUGUGAUUGGCCCGCCCUCUUUGCCAACAUGGCGGCUCCCAGGCCCUAAUGCGAGAAGCAUGCACCGUGACUCGUUGGAUCCUGCGGGUUGAGGCGCCCGCGGAUGUCCCUCGCGAGGACGAUCCUGUGGCUAAGCCGUCCUCUCCGUCCGGCCCACAGCCUCUGUAGAGCUCAGUUCAUGGAACGGAAGGCCCAGAAGCCUCCCUCUCCACCAGCGAUGGAGAACGGCACCCGGUCCUGGGAAGAGCGCCCACCCGCGGACCCGGUUGCGACUGUCACUGAGGGCGCCGCCAAAAUCGUCUUUCCCAGUGCUAACGAGGUUUUCUAUAACCCGGUGCAGGAAUUCAACCGGGACCUGACGUGUGCUGUGAUCACAGAGUUUGCUCGAAUUCAUCUUGGGGCCAAGGGAAUCCAGAUCAAGGUUCCAGGAGAGAAGGACUCAGAGAAAAUAGCUGUGGACUUGUCUGAUCAAGAAGAGGAAACAGCUGGAAAGAAUGAAAAUCUGGCCCCAGGGGACUGGCCACGGACUGCUGCAGUGGGUGAGAUCUGUGAGGAAGGUCUACGAGUGCUGGAAGGCCUGGCAGCUUCCGGUCUGCGCUCCAUCCGUUUUGCCCUGGAGGUUCCUGGCCUCCAGUCUGUGGUUGCCAAUGAUGCCUCUGCCCGGGCUGUAGAGCUUAUGCACAGAAAUGUGGAGCUCAAUGGUGUGGCACAUCUUGUUCAGCCCAACCAGGCAGAUGCCCGGAUGCUGAUGUACCAACACCAAAAGGCACCUGAGCGAUUUGAUGUCAUUGACCUGGACCCCUAUGGCAGCCCCGCCCCCUUCCUGGAUGCAGCAGUGCAGGCUGUGAGUGAUGGAGGACUUCUGUGUGUCACCUGCACAGACAUGGCAGUCCUGGCGGGGAACAGCGGAGAGACAUGCUACAGCAAGUAUGGGGCCAUGGCCCUCAAGAGCCGAGCCUGCCAUGAAAUGGCCCUGCGGAUUGUGCUGCACAGCCUGGACCUGCACGCCAACUGCUACCAGCGCUAUAUCGUGCCGCUGCUCAGCAUCAGUGCUGACUUCUAUAUCCGGGUCUUUGUACGUGUUUUCACAGGCCAGGCCAAGGUUAAGUCCUCAGCCAGCAAACAGGCCCUGGUGUUCCAGUGUGUGGGUUGUGGAGCCUUCUACCUGCAACGCCUUGGCAAAGCAUCAGGAGACCCUGGUGGCAGGAUCAAGUUCUCUGCAGCCUGUGGUCCUCCAGUAACUCCCGAGUGUGAGCACUGUGGACAGAGACACCAGGUGGGCCCAGCUUGGGGGCCCCAUGUGGGCAGAGCCCAUCCAUGACCUGGACUUUGUGGGCCGAGUUCUUGACGCAGUGACCACGAAUCCUGGCCGCUUCCACACUUCCAUGAGGAUCCAAGGCGUCCUCAGUGUUGUUACUGAGGAACUUCCUGAUGUCCCUCUCUACUACACACUGGACCAACUGAGCAGCACUAUCCACUGCAACACACCCCGCCUUCUGCAGCUUCGGUCAGCUCUCCUUCAUGCUGGUUUCCGAGUCUCUCUCUCCCAUGCUUGUAAGAAUGCAGUGAAGACAGAUGCUCCCCCUGAGGCCCUCUGGGACAUCAUGCGUUGCUGGGAAAAGGAAUGUCCAGUGAAACGGGAGCGGCUGUCUGAAAGCAGUCCAGCAUUCCGAAUUCUUGCUGUGGAGCCCAGCUCCACUGGAGCAGAUCCAGAAACUCACUAGGAAAUUCAAGUGGUUACUGAAUAAAUGAAAGAACUCUGAGCCUGGCAGACCUGUGGUGUUGCCUCAGGGUGGGCAGGUUCUGGGGCUGAGUUCACCCUGCAUGGCCACUGCCUCCAGCCUCCACCCAUUUGUCCAGGCUGAAGGCCAACUUCAACAUCCGGGAAGACGCCAACCCCAGCUCCCGCCAGCGAGGACUUAAGCGCUUCCAGGCCAAUCCAGAAGCCAACUGGGGUCCCCGGCCCCGUGCCCGGCCAGGGGGCAAGGCAGCAAGUGAAGAUCUAGCAGGGAGGCGGAGGCUGCUACAGAAUAAGAGGAAGGAGCCAGCUGAGGACCCGGCCCAGCGUGCAGCUCGCCUUAAGACAUUUCCUUGCAAACGAUUCAAAGAGGGUACCUGUCAACUAGGGGACCAGUGCUGUUAUUCACACAGUCCUGCAGCUCCUGUGGCCUCUGGUGAUAUCCCCAUCGAAGAAUGUCCAGAGACUACCACCAAGAUCUCCCCUGGACCAAAGGCUGCUGCUGGGGGUAUUCCUGGGCC
Molecule: RNA transcript, 3420 nt
Organism: Mus musculus (house mouse)
Lineage: Eukaryota; Metazoa; Chordata; Mammalia; Rodentia; Muridae
Gene: Trmt1
Gene name: tRNA methyltransferase 1
Exons: 17
Source: RefSeq, marked validated